This 118-nucleotide ribosomal RNA is filed under the name Amolops mantzorum (Kangting sucker frog). The record is from RNAcentral. Lineage: Eukaryota; Metazoa; Chordata; Amphibia; Anura; Ranidae.
GCUUACGGCCAUACCAGCCUGAAAGCGCCCGAUCUCGUCUGAUCUCGGAGGCUAAGCAGGGUCGGGCCUGGUUAGUACCUGGAUGGGAGACCGCCUGGGAAUACCAGGUGCUGUAGGC